CAUGCAAGUCGAGCGGAGUUUUGAAAAGCUUGCUUUUCAAAACUUAGCGGCGGACGGGUGAGUAACACGUGGGCAACCUGCCCUUGAGACGGGGAUAACUCCGGGAAACCGGAGCUAAUACCGGAUAACACAUAUCUUCGCAUGAGGAUAUGUUAGAAGGUGGCUUUUAGCUACCACUCAAGGAUGGGCCCGCGGCGCAUUAGCUAGUUGGUGAGGUAACGGCUCACCAAGGCGACGAUGCGUAGCCGACCUGAGAGGGUGAUCGGCCACACUGGGACUGAGACACGGCCCAGACUCCUACGGGAGGCAGCAGUAGGGAAUCUUCCGCAAUGGACGAAAGUCUGACGGAGCAACGCCGCGUGAGUGAUGAAGGUUUUCGGAUCGUAAAGCUCUGUUGUUAGGGAAGAACAAGUAUCUGUUAAAUAAGCAGGUACCUUGACGGUACCUAACCAGAAAGCCACGGCUAACUACGUGCCAGCAGCCGCGGUAAUACGUAGGUGGCAAGCGUUGUCCGGAAUUAUUGGGCGUAAAGCGCGCGCAGGCGGUUCCUUAAGUCUGAUGUGAAGGCCCACGGCUCAACCGUGGAGGGUCAUUGGAAACUGGGGAACUUGAGUGCAGAAGAGGAGAGCGGAAUUCCACGUGUAGCGGUGAAAUGCGUAGAGAUGUGGAGGAACACCAGUGGCGAAGGCGGCUCUCUGGUCUGUAACUGACGCUGA
This 716-nucleotide ribosomal RNA is filed under the name uncultured bacterium. RNAcentral's name for it is "bacterial SSU rRNA". It matches the Rfam family "Bacterial small subunit ribosomal RNA", at positions 54 to 749 of the family's 1533-position model. The record is from RNAcentral.